Molecule: non-coding RNA, 9294 nt
Organism: Chrysemys picta bellii (western painted turtle)
Lineage: Eukaryota; Metazoa; Chordata; Testudines; Emydidae
Source: RefSeq, a predicted model, not a curated record
AUCUGUACCUUACAAUCUAUUGUUGCAUUACAGAUGUAUUUUAUACUGCACUGUGUUGCAGAAAUCAUCAGUGAGAUAGAAACAGGUUUUGUGCCAGUUCUACUGGUGUACAUGAAUCAAUGGGAUAGUUAGUGUAACUGAGAGCAGAGAUUAGUGCGUACAUACAGAUAUAUUACUUAGGAUGUUCUUUAUUCUUACCCUUUUAGAAACCUAUAUCACCAGUAACGUGACAAAGGAUAUGUGAGAGAAGAGAAGGGAAAAUAAAGGUUACCCCUUAAAAGCAUGGGAUCUGUCCUCAGGCUCUGUUGAUUUUAGCCUGGCUACAUGAAGAGCAGAAUUUGGCCAUAUGUAUCUACUCGAAUGUGUUUAAAUAGUGGUGAAAACAAUUUGCACCCCCCCCCCCCCAUUGUUAAUGAGAAAGUGAGGUUUCAUUAUGAACACUACACUUAUGGGUCUACAUAGAGGAUGCCUAGAAAGACAGUUCACCAUAUAAUAGCCUUGGGAUGGCUUUUACCUCUGAUGCCAUGGAUGUGAUGAAAGAGUACAAUGAUGAUGAUAAAUCUUUAGAUCAAGAUUUUCCCAAGUUGUAAUGAUGGAAUCUGCUGAACCUAAAGGUGGAGGCAGGUGCAGAGCCAACCCUUAAAUGCACCAUAUGUCCAUACAAAAAACUUCUGGUGGUGCUAAAAUUCACUAUAGAGAAGUACUUUCAAAUUAACACCAUUAAAUUUUAGCAAAAUGCCAAGUUUAAUUUUAAAAUCAAAUGUGAGAGAGUAUACUCAAGAGCAGGGAACUGGACCAAUAGAACUUUGAGGUUUGACUUCUGAUUCUGCAACCGAUAUUCACUUUGUCUGUUCGGGCAAGUCACUUAACCUCCCCCACCUCAGUUUCCCCAUCUGACAAACGGGGAUAACAACACUGACCUAAUGUUCUUCAACAGAGUGCAGUGAGGAUGAAUUAUUUGUUUGCAGAGAGCUCAGAGAUCCUCAGAUGAAAGGUGCUCUAGAAAUGCAAAUGAACUAUUAUUAAUCACUAUAGUAAUUUAUAACAAAACUGAAAUUGCGCCAAGAACAAAAUGUGUUUGGGGAAAAAUAAUGAUCUUCUCAUCUGGGUUUCUGAUGAGCAGAACUAUUCCUGUCUUUAGUAAACCCCAAAGUGUAUGCAAUGCCUCCGUGGGCCUGAAAAGCCUUCUGUUGGAUGUCUAUACCUCUACCCCGAUAUAACGCGACCCAAUAUAACACAAAUUCAGAUAUAAUGCGGUAAAGCAGUGCUCCGGAGGGGGCGGGGCUGCGCACUCUAGCGGAUCAAAGCAAGUUCGAUAUAGCGCAGUUUCACCUAUAGUGCGGUAAGAUUUUUUGGCUCCCGAGGACAGCGGUCUAUCGAGGUAGAGGUGUUUUUUGUUUGGCCUCAGCCAGGAGUUUAUCCUAGAAAAUUUUCAGUUAAAGUAAUUAAUCAUGGAAUCUCUAGAAAUGCACAACUUCAAAUGAAAUCAUAUUGAGGGGAAUAUUAACUGCUCUGACCUUUUCUUCUUGUUUUGUCAAAAGCCGUUUUGAAGGAUCUCUAAUAGGUGACAUUGAUCUAUGGGAGAAACGGAGAGAGAGGAGAUUCUCUGGCCUAUAAAAAAGAGCAAGUUGAGGUUUCCCUACAGUUUCCAAGCUUCACCUCUCAUUGGCCCCUUGCUUAUAGGCUUUCAUUCAUACUGGACUGUCUCAUCAUUAUUGUGUGUGGUCUCUCCACAAGGCAGAACCAUUUAUUCCCAAUUGCAUGCCUGUCGUUGUUAGCACUGUUAUGAUAAGACCCAGCUAAGUUCUUCUUACACCAGAAGGCAUACAGUAAUUUAUAAAGGAUGACAUGUCUCAAGCGUAUUCUGCCUGAGUUAUGGGUAGAGAAUUGAUUUAUAAUUGUGAAGUUGAAGUGACAAAUGGUUAAUAUAUUGCUGCCAGAACAGUAUGGGGAGAGUAUACGUAUCUUAAUUCUUCACCCCUGAAUCUUAGCUCUUAAGAUGCCUCCUUUCUAUUUGGGGCCUGUCGUUCCAUAGGAAUGCUCCUCAGCUGUAAUUCUGAUUGGUUCAGAUCCAAAUGUUAACUCUCUCUCAGCACUGAAUGCUAGCUUAGCUUCGAGGAUAUGCUCUAUCUCUAUUUUGUGUGCCUCUCUAAUGGCUAUACUAGUUGCACAUAUUCCUUAGCUGUAGGUUAUUAACAUUUUAAAAAAUGUGAGGUGUAGACUUCAUAGCUGGUGCUUUAUCUUAAAUUUUCAAAUACCCCUAGCUUACGGUCAAAGAGACUGAGUGAAAAUGUAUUUGGUAGAUUUUACAAAAACAUAAGUGGUCUUUAUCUUAGUAAUAGCAAAAUGAUUGAUGUUUAACUCUGCAAGUACAUAGCAAAGACUGAUUCUUGAGAAAGUGAUGCAUCAUAUCACAGGAAAUAUGGCAACUUUCAAGCCACACUUCAAAAGUUUAUCAAAGCACGACCCUCCUCAUUAUCUGCCCAUCUUUCCUCUGCUCCUCUCAAAAAAGGAAAGAGACAAAACUCAACGCGAGUUACAGCAAAAAACUUAAAUUACCAAUAAAGGGAAAAAACCCUGAAAUUUGUCAAAAAUAAGCUCAGGCUUCUAUAUAGUGGAGAGACAUAACUUUUUCCUUUGACAUUUAUGCAGAUUUUAUGUGACUAUUUUAUGUGCUGCUUAAAAAGAAGAAAAAGACAAUUACCAUAACAACCACAGAAUCAUGUGGCACAUCUUCUGUCUGUGAAAUGCCCAGCACAUUAACUAAACCUGCGCUACCUGAAUAGGAAUGCAAUGCCAUAUUUUUAUUUAAGUUAAAUGUCAGUAAUUUUAGCAAUGUAUUAAUAAUGUAUGUUUUUUCCCUGCAAUAAUCCAUUUCCCCUAAUUAUAAGGAUGUAUUUCAAACCCUUUAUUUGAUUUUACAUUAGUACACAGAACGCACACGCUAUACACAAAUGCUGCACAUACCUAUGCAUGCUUCACACAUACCACACAUACGACAUGAACAUUGCACUUACAUGUACACACCACACAGUGCCUAUAUGUGCAUAUUGCCGAGAUCAUAAUGCGCACACACACUGAAUAUGCACCACAUAUGUAUUGCUCCCACACAUACAUACCACAUACACAUUCACAACUAUUUCUUUCCUUGUUUUGUGAACAGGGGGAAAUGAAUCUUGGUGGUGAUCUAAGGGAAUGGUGCAUGCUGAAAGCAGCUGGAGUGAAUGCCUGAUGUGUCAAUGCCUCUCAUGACACCAUUUUUGUUCCUGCCUUGGGAACUCAGCAAACGGUGUUUAUUGUUACUUGUCUAAUGUGGACAUGGGAUGAGAGCAUGUUUUCACAGCUGGAAUAUACCUACAUUCUAAUGGGGGGACAUAUAGCUUUGAAAUAUUUGCGCUACUCUGGUCAGCUAAAACAAUAAAGGUUUUGUAGGGUGCUCAACACAAACUCAGAUCCGAUAAGAAACAGAAUUUCAGGUGUUGUGAAUGUACUCUCCUCCUCUUUGCCAUGUCUAGAAGCCACUCCUCCAUCAUUGUAUUCCUCCACUUUUCUGCUGCUUUUGACAAUAUAGACCAUCCACUUGGUCUCUUCCUGGGGCUUCUCUGAUUUGUAUAUUUCCUGGCUCUUCUCUUACCUUCCCAGGUGCUCUUUCCCAGUUGCUUUUGAUGGAUUCUCCUCUUUCUCCAUCCCCCUCUCCCAGUUGGGGUUCCAUCUGCUGUCUGCCCUGGGCCCAUGUCUUUUUUCCCUGUUCACUUGUGCUCCUGAUGACUUCCCUCUUUCUCUCUCAUGGGUCUCUAGUCUCGCCUCCCUAUUAAGGAGUGUAGAAUCUGUUAUUAUUUAUGUGCGGACAGUGUGCGUCUCAUUCAGUCUCUUACUCCCUGCCACAUCUUUCUGUCUUCCCUGUAUCACUUCUUGGAUUCCCCACUGCUUCCACAGAUGAAACAUAUCAAAAACAUAUCCUCACCACUUUCUGCAUGAUGUUUUCCCAGCCUGGCGAAUGGGCUAUUUUUUGCUCCUCUCUGUACAGCUAGACUGACUGACUCCCCUAUCUGGAGCAGGCUGCCCUAAACACACCAGUCAUCCUUCUACAUUCAGUUCAGCAGGAUAUGAUGUGUUUUUUCCUGCACCAAUGGUGGUGUGCCCUCCCAGGGGAGGGAGGGAGGGAGGAAGAGCCUGAUUUGUGGCAUUGGAUUCCCCAAUCUGAGGUGAAGUUGUUCAACUUCUCCUGUCACUAGCCUCUGAAAAAUUUAUUUUAUGGGAAAGCAGAACAGUAUUGCCCUCUAUAUUCUCAUGUAAGUGCAAAUAAUUAUGUGUGUGGAUACACACAGUAGUAAUGAGCCAAGGAGUCCUUCCCAGGCAGCUCCACCUCUGAACAGACAAGGAUGGGCUGCCUGGGCAUAUGGAAGUUUCCUUGAAGUUUCUGCCAUUUACUAAAGUCUAUAUGCCCCUCUGCUUGUAGAGAGUUUGUGAACUGUGCAGGAGUGUUUGUCCGGCUGCUCUCUGGCUCUACAGGAUAUAUAUACCCUGCAGGCCUCAAGAGCCAUGGAUACUGGAACACACCAGAUCUGGGAAGCCUGCAGAGCUUUUUAACUGCAGGGCCAGAAGGAUCCUUGGCCCUGGAAAAAUUCCCUUCAGUUCUGUGGAACUUUCAGGAGUGCAGGAUUAGCCUGGACUGUCUUGUCAUGUGGGGCCACCUCUCUCCACAAUGGAAAUUCAUCCACCACCCUGUCCUGGCGAGUAGGGGAUGCUGCCACGUCUCUGCUUGGGUCACUAGGCAGGAGGAGAUUAGAAGCAAUGGGCUCACAAUCUGCACUGUCCUGCUGUUGCUAAUCCUCUUCCUCUGGGCUGGGGGCUUCCUCUUCCCUAACCCUACACUAAUUCUUGUUUUGAGGCAGGCUGGGACCUCCUGUUAUUCUUUGGGUACACCAGGGAAAAGGGGUUUCCUAGUCCAUCACCUUGCUGCCACUGCUGCCUCCAUGUUGGAUGGACCAGGAAGAAAGGGACCACCGCUAGACUCUGAUUUUCUUCCUCCCUCUCCUGCUGCCGCUCUUUAGGUUGCCUUACCACAGCCACCAACCAAGCAGUUAGGCCCCUGUGGGAGCCUCAUCACCAGCCCCUGUGGGGCUGCCGUGGUUCCUUUCCUGAGCAGACUCGUACCCAAGCAGCACAUGUAGGUGGUGUCAUUAGGAAUGGAGCUGUGGAGGUCAGGAACUCACAUUUUUUUUUACCUGCCUAGGGUCUCAGUUUGCCUUAGUUCAGCCCUGCUAACAUGAGUCAUGCCCAGGAUUCUUGUAGAGUUUAUAAAUUGUCAGAGGCCUUGUGGGCUUUGUAUGGUAACUAACUACCACUGUGAACUCUUAAAAUCCAGUUUGGCUAUGAACUUCAUAAACUCCAUCCAGUGUGGGCUGUGGAAUUCUUUUCAACUCAGAAAAAUUGUAGUGAAUAAUACCAACCUCUGGAGAACAGUUAGAGGCAUCUGUCCUCAUUGAGAAUGUCAUAAUUUAAGCCAAAUCUGAAGCCAAAACUUGUAAAGAUUAAAAUGCUACUAAAAAUAAAAAUAAUUCAGAAGACUUUGCGGAAGUGAUUGCUUCUUAUUUUACAAGUCGCCAUAUCUGGAUUUCUUCUCUGUUUGUCUAUCAAUGAACAGAAAAAUUCUCCUGUGGCAAGGGAGCAAACGUAAGUAAUUCCACACAAAUUGGUUUAAUAUUGGCAAAGUCAGUAGAGAAAAGGUUUGUUGAAAAAUUGGUCACAGCCUUAAUAAUGGAGAGAUUACUGUCACUUCAUAGUUCUGUCUAUUGUUGUCUGUAGGUGAGAAGGAAAGUUCAGUCUGUCUUCAUUCCUUUGGUACAAGAAGUAAGAAUUUCUCAACUCUAAUCCCUAAAAUUAUCAUUCUUAUUUUGGGUGUUGUAAAAACCCAUGCAGUGACACGAAGGCGGCAUUUUUGUGUGCAAAAUAAUAGGUGCAAACUGACAAUUAUGUGGACAUGCCACUGCUGGAUUUUAGUGAGAGCACCUGCUGUGGCUUCUGUUUCUGGGAAGUCGAACUAUCAAACCAGUUAAAAAAAGUGAAAAUAUUUUUGAAAUAAAGUCAAGACUGCCUUUAUAAGUCUGUUUAAAAGACACUGCUUUACAGUAGUGAGAGCUUUGUAAAUUUAGCUUCCUGGAUGUGUUCCUUUUCCUUUUGUGUAACAUGUUUUUUUUGCUAUUUGUUCUUCUUAAAACAAAGGACGCUUUAAUCAUGCAUAAGAACUUUAUUUAUGGCUGCAAGUGGCAUUUAACUGCAGUGUGACAAUUAAAACACUUGGCUUCACUACGGAAUCGAAACAAUAUUAAAGAUGUUAGGGGUGGAUCUUUCUAGACAGUGAUUCAGUUUAAAACAAAAAUAUCACUGUAUCUGUCUCUAUUCAAUGUACGGACAUUCCCCGUGUGUUCUUCAAUGAAUCUUAGCUUGAUAUUUACUUGACAAGGAGUCUGCUUAAGAAAGGGCUUAAUAAUGAUUAUGUAAGGCCAUUAUGUUUUUCUGUUCUGCAUGACGGGAACAAGUGCUACACAGUUCAAAAUGUUUUAACUGACCUGUUCCAUGGUUUAACCAUAAGGUGGUAUGGAAGGAGGCACUUGAAAGAAAUCUGCGAACUGAUUGCUCCAGUCAAGUUCAGGUGCAAUGCAGAAGAGAGACAUCCAAGCUUCUGCUGUGCCAGUGUUUUAAUGCCCCUUCUCUGUCACAUGGUCAACAGCACCGCUGACAAAGGCAUCUCCAUAGCCGUGCCAUGCUGGCAAAAAUUGGAUUCAUAAUGCUCAACUGGUGCAGCUCUCUGGCACCUAUGAUGGAAGCUGUAAUGUAGACAAUGUUCAAGUAUUUUUAGCACCAUGUCAUUCAACCCCACUCUGAGUCCCACCCGUAUGCAUUAUUGAGGCAGAAUGGUGGUGGUGGGGUGAAUGGUACUAGAAUAAAGGGCUCUACACUUGGGCUAUGGCUUAACUUUGCAAAUUAUCUUGCAACUUCAAAUUAAAAAGAACUGAAAUCUGAGAAUUGCCGGUCAGAAAGUUGAAAAUCUGACCGGCAUUGGCUACUGUCAUAUUGGGAUACAACUGUUGUCACUAUGGUUCUCAUAGCGAAGGAGUUAUACCCCUAGAUGUUUUAUAGAAGGAAGCUCAGUGUUCCCAAAUAGCACCAGCAGAGGAGUACACUAGAUAACUUUGAUAGGGUUUCUCCAGCUCUGAGUUCCAUGAUAGAAGGAGCAAAGCAAAUUACACUCUUCACAACAAACAGCAUGCUCUGCUAAGCGAUAGAUGUGUUUGUUUUCUCUACAGUCCAUUGGGUUAAGGUGUAUAGAAAUUCUUGCUCCUUCAGCAGUUCAUUUUAUCUUUUCUUUUAUUAUAAAUUUUUAAAAAACGAUUUAAGAAAACAAAUCAUUGACAAAAAAGCUGCAGGAAACUGUGGGGUCCCUAAAGUGCAACACAUGGUACACCUCUACCCCGAUAUAACAUGAAUUCAGAUAUAACGCGGUAAAGCCGUGCUCCGGGGGGCGGGGCUGCACACUCCGGCGGAUCAAAGCAAGUUCAAUAUAACGUGGUAAGAUUUUUUGGCUCCCAAGGACAGUGUUAUAUUGAGGUAGAAGUGUAUUAUAAGUUCAUGGGGAAUGAAAGUGGAAAAGAUGCUUUGCCCACCUUUACUUAUUGGCAAUAUAAGUGUGUAGUUUGUUAACAUCUGCUAAUAAUCCUGAAAUAUACAUUGGGCUAGUAUCCAUUCUUCUGUAAAGAUUCAGAACAUCUGACCUACCAACACUGUCUUAAACAAGAACAUUUACCCUGGAGGGAAUUUGUGGGCAGCAAAGUGUUAGAAGUGCCAUGAAUUAAUCAGAAUUGUUCAUGUUGCUACCACUCGUAUUUGCCUUUAUGCCUUUUUUGAUCAUUGAUUUAAAAGGAAUUUUGAGAGCAUAUUCUAAUUCAAAGAAAAAUAUAUUUAAUUCUGACCCACACAUCCUCUCAGCCCAAAUUCUUAAUACUUUGAUGUAUGCCCAGACUAUGGACUAAGACAGAAAAUGGGGUGGGGGUGGGGGUCGGCUUAUACAGAGAUAUACCAUAUUAGGGCUUUUACAGGAGGUUUAAAAAGAGAGCGAAAAGCUUCCCUGUAGGUCUCUUAAAUGCCAUUCCCUCUGAUUCUCCUCCCCACUCAUUUGAAACAUUGUUGCCAGGCAAAGAUGAAAGAACCAACCGCAGAUUGGUCAGCAGCCAAGUAUUUGAGGGCUUCUGAGUAAGAGCUUCGGUAGCUAUAGAAAUAAUUAAAACUCGCUCUGUGCUAGGUUGUAUUUGUGUAAAUCUUUUUUUGUUGAGUCUCUUAAACAAAGUAAGCUGGCUGUACAGGAAAUAGAUGCAGUCAAGCCCUGAUAAAGUAGCAUUGUGAAGGCAAAGAAUAUGAAUGUAAGCUGAGCCAGCUAAUCAAUUAUAUUUUUGUGUGUUCUUUAAAAGUAAAACCUGAAAUUUUAUAACCUGUUUUUCACCAUGUGUAACCGGAAUGUAUGUGAUGGGCUGCAUCAGUUUUACUUAGAUCCUUGUACCCAUUUCUUUAUUAACUCAAUAACUGUAUAAAUUAAUCCAUGCCAUCCAGGAAAUCUUUACAUAUAAUGGUUUUGUCUUGAUUAGCAUAAGAGUUCUUUCCAUCUCUUAAGAAAUGCCUGGCACCUACAUACUGAAUGCAUCACUCUGGUACCAUAGAGCUACCCCGGCAGCACUUACUAAUCGAAUGCAGAGCAUUCUAAAUGUUUUAUCUGUGCAUUUUCCCCCCUAUGUCGAGUCUUCCCCAUCCUACAAUGGAAUGUUCUACUUUGCUGAGGGUCAGUCAUGACUUACACAUGUGAGUAAACCUACUGAAAUCUAUGCUGCCUCAACUCAUAAAACAAUACAAGAUGCUAUCAACGGCAGGAAAAGGAAAAGGCCAACAGGGUUCCCAGUGUUCUGAUUGCUGAACAGGACAAAGUAAAGGAGCUUCAGAACCUUGAGGAAGUCUGGGUUCUGAUUGGCAGUGAGCAGGUUGUAACUUCAAACAUGCCGAAAAUAUUAUAACAGAAGAAGAAAAAGUUGGGCCAGCUCUGCAGACAGUCUGUCACAAGCUCAGAAAACUAUCCGCUCUGUGCUGCCUGCUCACUUACUAGCUACCAGCCCUAACCAUCUCCCAGGAAGUGCAGCAAUCUAGGAGAGGCGGUAGGGACCGGCGUGAGAGUGGAAGAACACUUCAGAAUGUAUUGGGUACUAAUUGAAAGUGUAUUGUUCUGUGAUGAUCUGUUCAUUUGAAAAA